RNAcentral lists this ribosomal RNA (466 nucleotides) under uncultured ammonia-oxidizing beta proteobacterium. Its description in RNAcentral is "bacterial SSU rRNA". It matches the Rfam family "Bacterial small subunit ribosomal RNA", at positions 198 to 645 of the family's 1533-position model. Lineage: Bacteria; Pseudomonadati; Pseudomonadota; Betaproteobacteria. The record is from RNAcentral.
GGAGGAAAGCAGGGGAUCGCAAGACCUUGCGCUUUUGGAGUGGCCGAUGCCUGAUUAGCUAGUUGGUAGGGUAAUGGCUUACCAAGGCGACGAUCAGUAGUUGGUCUGAGAGGACGACCAGCCACACUGGGACUGAGACACGGCCCAGACUCCUACGGGAGGCAGCAGUGGGGAAUUUUGGACAAUGGGCGAAAGCCUGAUCCAGCAAUGCCGCGUGAGUGAAGAAGGCCUUCGGGUUGUAAAGCUCUUUCAGUCGAGAAGAAAAGGUUGUGACUAAUAAUCACAACUCAUGACGGUAUCGACAGAAGAAGCACCGGCUAACUACGUGCCAGCAGCCGCGGUAAUACGUAGGGUGCGAGCAUUAAUCGGAAUUACUGGGCGUAAAGGGUGCGCAGGCGGCUUUGUAAGUCAGAUGUGAAAUCCCCGGGCUUAACCUGGGAAUUGCGUUUGAAACUACAAGGCUAGA